Long non-coding RNA from Oreochromis aureus, 1062 nucleotides. RefSeq lists it as uncharacterized. NCBI's taxonomy places the organism in Eukaryota, Metazoa, Chordata, Actinopteri, Cichliformes, Cichlidae. The record is from RefSeq and is a predicted model, not a curated record. The transcript is spliced from 5 exons.
CAGGGAAAGACAAACCAUGGAACAGUGAAAUCUCAAUAGGUCAUUCUUACUUUUAACCACCUGGGGGAGCUUGUCUGUAUUUGAACAGCCUGUGGCUCUUGUGUUGAGCCCAAGGGGACAUGAUGAUCCAGAGAUGAACAAAAAAAUGCUGAGUGAAUCGGUAGAGAGACAGACAACCAUUCAAACUCACAUUCACACCUGUGGGCAAUAUGAAAAUCCCUAGUUAACCUGACCCCAUUAAUUGCAUGUCUUUGGAAGCCAAAGUACUUGGAGAGAACCCAAACAGACAUGGAGAGAACAUCAAAUGCCAGACAAAAAGGCUCCAAGCAGAUGGUGGAUUUAAACCCAGGAUGUUCUUGCAAUUAGCCAAAGGAAUUCCUAAUAAUCACUAACCCAGCAAACAGACCCACGUGCCCAAAGUGGGCAACACAGGGAUGUUGACAUGCUGUGAACUGGAUUAAUGCUGUCUCUCCUGUUUUUUGAGUCAUUCUCAGAUACCCUGCAAGGCGAUAAGUUCCCUGCUAAUUUUUAAAGACAUUGAGGCUUCCAGGAUGUUCUACCUGUGGAUAUGCUUGAGUCUGUUCUUUGUUCUGCAAAGCACUGUAUCAUCAGAUCAAGGUGUGUCAGUGAAUUGCAACGAGACUGCAGAAGUUGGAAAAAGUAAAAUGUACCUAAAAUGUCCCAUACAUUGGAAAGAUGGCUCAAACUGUAGAGUUCAAAAUUAUACCUGGGAGAACACAAAUGGGCCCAUACAAUGUAACUGGACAAACUACAGCUGUGAAUGGGAUCCUCAGAAGUAUGUGGCUCUCACCAUUCAACGUGUCACGAAAGAGGAAAACGUUACAGUUGAAAUCAGGUCAGACUGUGGUAUGGCUAAAUCGGGAGUACAACUACUCCGUAUUGCAGGAAAUGGAGGAGGAAUGCAGGAGUCACAUGUGAUGGCCAUCAUACUCUGUGUUUUUCCCACAGCUGUAUACAUUUUCACUCUAUAGAAGUCAGACACAAUUUCAGUGACAGAUUCUGCACUGUGAAUUAAAGGCUGAUUGUUGUGUUAUAUGUGCA